UACGAAAGGGGCUAGCGUUGUUCGGAAUUACUGGGCGUAAAGCGCACGUAGGCGGCCUUGUAAGAUGGGGGUGAAAUCCCCGGGCUCAACCCGGGAACUGCCUUCAUGACUGCAAAGCUUGAGGAUGCGAGAGGUUAGCGGAAUUCCGAGUGUAGAGGUGAAAUUCGUAGAUAUUCGGAAGAACACCAGUGGCGAACGCGGCUAACUGGCGCACUUCUGACGCUGAGGUACGAAAGCGUGGGGACCAAAUAGG
RNAcentral lists this ribosomal RNA (253 nucleotides) under uncultured bacterium. RNAcentral describes it as "partial 16S ribosomal RNA". It matches the Rfam family "Bacterial small subunit ribosomal RNA", at positions 524 to 776 of the family's 1533-position model. The record is from RNAcentral.